This 252-nucleotide ribosomal RNA is filed under the name uncultured bacterium. RNAcentral describes it as "partial 16S ribosomal RNA". It matches the Rfam family "Bacterial small subunit ribosomal RNA", at positions 524 to 776 of the family's 1533-position model. The record is from RNAcentral.
GACAGAGGGUGCAAACGUUGUUCGGAAUUACUGGCGUAAAGCGCGCGCAGGCGGUCUUCCAAGUCAGUGGUGAAAGCCCGGAGCUCAACUCCGGAACUGCCAUUGAAACUGUUGGACUUGAGUAUGAGAGAGGUGAGUGGAAUUCCCAGUGUAGAGGUGAAAUUCGUAGAUAUUGGGAAGAACACCGGUGGCGAAGGCGGCUCACUGGCUCAUUACUGACGCUCAGGCGCGACAGCGUGGGGAUCAAACAGG